Molecule: ribosomal RNA, 1450 nt
Filed under: Salmonella enterica
Lineage: Bacteria; Pseudomonadati; Pseudomonadota; Gammaproteobacteria; Enterobacterales; Enterobacteriaceae
Also listed under: 1 other name
Description: partial 23S ribosomal RNA
Rfam family: Bacterial large subunit ribosomal RNA
Source: RNAcentral
AGACCCGAAACCCGGUGAUCUAGCCAUGGGCAGGUUGAAGGUUGGGUAACACUAACUGGAGGACCGAACCGACUAAUGUUGAAAAAUUAGCGGAUGACCUGUGGCUGGGGGUGAAAGGCCAAUCAAACCGGGAGAUAGCUGGUUCUCCCCGAAAGCUAUUUAGGUAGCGCCUCGUGAAUUCAUCUCCGGGGGUAGAGCACUGUUUCGGCUAGGGGGCCAUCCCGGCUUACCAACCCGAUGCAAACUGCGAAUACCGGAGAAUGUUAUCACGGGAGACACACGGCGGGUGCUAACGUCCGUCGUGAAGAGGGAAACAACCCAGACCGCCAGCUAAGGUCCCAAAGUCAUGGUUAAGUGGGAAACGAUGUGGGAAGGCCCAGACAGCCAGGAUGUUGGCUUAGAAGCAGCCAUCAUUUAAAGAAAGCGUAAUAGCUCACUGGUCGAGUCGGCCUGCGCGGAAGAUGUAACGGGGCUAAACCAUGCACCGAAGCUGCGGCAGCGACGCUUAUGCGUUGUUGGGUAGGGGAGCGUUCUGUAAGCCUGUGAAGGUGUGUCGUGAGGCAUGCUGGAGGUAUCAGAAGUGCGAAUGCUGACAUAAGUAACGAUAAAGCGGGUGAAAAGCCCGCUCGCCGGAAGACCAAGGGUUCCUGUCCAACGUUAAUCGGGGCAGGGUGAGUCGACCCCUAAGGCGAGGCCGAAAGGCGUAGUCGAUGGGAAACGGGUUAAUAUUCCCGUACUUGGUGUUACUGCGAAGGGGGGACGGAGAAGGCUAUGUUGGCCGGGCGACGGUUGUCCCGGUUUAAGCGUGUAGGUGUGUGUUCCAGGUAAAUCCGGUUCACUUUAACACUGAGGCGUGAUGACGAGGCACUACGGUGCUGAAGCAACAAAUGCCCUGCUUCCAGGAAAAGCCUCUAAGCAUCAGGUAACAUCAAAUCGUACCCCAAACCGACACAGGUGGUCAGGUAGAGAAUACCAAGGCGCUUGAGAGAACUCGGGUGAAGGAACUAGGCAAAAUGGUGCCGUAACUUCGGGAGAAGGCACGCUGACACGUAGGUGAAGUGAUUUACUCAUGGAGCUGAAGUCAGUCGAAGAUACCAGCUGGCUGCAACUGUUUAUUAAAAACACAGCACUGUGCAAACACGAAAGUGGACGUAUACGGUGUGACGCCUGCCCGGUGCCGGAAGGUUAAUUGAUGGGGUCAGCGCAAGCGAAGCUCCUGAUCGAAGCCCCGGUAAACGGCGGCCGUAACUAUAACGGUCCUAAGGUAGCGAAAUUCCUUGUCGGGUAAGUUCCGACCUGCACGAAUGGCGUAAUGAUGGCCAGGCUGUCUCCACCCGAGACUCAGUGAAAUUGAACUCGCUGUGAAGAUGCAGUGUACCCGCGGCAAGACGGAAAGACCCCGUGAACCUUUACUAUAGCUUGACACUGAACAUUGAGCCUUGAUGUGUAG